AAAUCUAGCUUUCAAUACUUUUAGCCACAUGUCCUUAAAAUCCACAGUUAAAAUCCAACAUAAUUAGGAUUCAGGAGACAUAAAAUCAAAAGAUAUAGACCGAGAUCUUAAAGAACUGGUUAUUUAAUAUUUUAGCAAUGCAAAAUCAAAAAGUGAUAACAAAGAUUAAAGAAAACCCUUAUUUCAAUAUUUUUAGCUAGGAUUCAAAAGCAUUUAAAUCAAUAAAUGUAUUUGGUAAGUUGAGAAAACCAAUCUUUUUAGCCCUAUAAGCACACUUAGAAACCGUACCAUCAACUAUUCAAGAAAACCCAUUAUUUAAUAGUAACAUAUUGCUUAUUUGGUCCAUAAAAUUUCCUGCAUAAUCAGAAUCUAGAGACAUAUAAGAUCAAAGAUUGUAGAUAGAGAUCUAAUAAAAGGCUAAUCUUAGCGCAAAUAUAUCUCCACUAAUUGAUGGCUUAGAUAAGUAGUAGUAUAUAAGAUUAAGAUCCAAGAAUUAUUUUACAAACCUUUAGCUUGAUGGGACAUAAAGAGACUCUAAAAAGCCAAGCAUCCAAUAAUAGUUCAAGUUCACAAAAAAGAUAUCAACGAAUCAAUUUAUUAAUAAAAUCUUAAAGUGUCAUUUGAAAUAUAGUUAAAUUGAUAAAGAAAACAAAUCAUCCGAAGAGAAGAAAUAGAAUAUUGAACCCUAAAUUGCAUCACAAUAUGACGGUAAGGACGAAAGCUAAACCCCAAAGAAAAACGAUAUUGCCGAACGAUUGCCAAAACUAGUCAGACUCUUUCCCUAUGAGAUUACUAAUCAAUAGAACAUGAAAUCAUCAAACUGAUACUUUCAAGAUGAAACACUAACUUUCCAUCAAUCGAUCCAAUUGAACCCUAACUUCCAUCACAAUAUACGAGAACUGAAAAUGCAGUUAAGAAGGCAAGAACAAAACCUAAACCCCAAAGAAAAAUGAUGUUGCCCAACGAUUGCCAAAAUCAAUUAGAUUGAAUCAAAAGGGGAGUUGUAUCUGUAGAUGGUAUACAUCAUAAAUAAUGAGAGAACGACUAAAAUUUAUUUUAAUCAAUGGAG
This 1069-nucleotide long non-coding RNA is filed under the name Ricinus communis (castor bean). RNAcentral describes it as "long non-coding RNA (RCOM_LNC001748)". The record is from RNAcentral. Lineage: Eukaryota; Viridiplantae; Streptophyta; Magnoliopsida; Malpighiales; Euphorbiaceae.